GUGUGCACUGUGGCCGUGCCCUACAUGCUGAGGGGCUCUUUUAGGAAUGCUGUCAUUUGGCUUGGGGAAGGGCCAGGCCUCUCUGCCCAUAGCAUUGAGGACAGAGGCACAGGUUUCCGUCACUGGGCUGACAGCUUCCAUUUCUUCCAAAUCCCCUCUCCUGAGCUAGUCUGCCAUGGACCAAGUGGGCAUGGGUGUGUUUUAUGCUUUGUACUUCUGCCUCCAUCCAUCUACAAUCCUAGCACUGAAACCACACUACUGCGAGCCGCCGUGUGCACCAGUGAGGUCUUCUCAUGGAUGGCCGCAGUCAUUCUCAUUUCUGCAUGCUUCCUCCAGGUCAGCUUCACAGGUGGUCCUGCUGGGUGAUUCUGGAUCCUGUGAAGUUGACAGCUUACAUUAACCAUCACAAGUAGCGUGCAGAAUCUGAUUUCUUAAUGGAAGAUACAGUACAAGCUCUGGAAGAAAUUUCAAUGUUGUGUAAAAGGAACACCGUAGAAGAAUGGAAUCCUAUGAGAUUUCUUUGUGAGAAAACCCAAGACUUGUGACCUCAGUUUCUUCAAAAACAUGGAAUUAUUCUUGGGGUGUUUUUGUGCUCCUCCCAUGUGUAGUGGGUAGGAGUGGGUGUACUUCAGAUCACUCAUUAGUGCUUGCAGUUAUUAAGUUAAGUGUUUAGACUAUCCUUUCUAUUCCUCUAGAGAAAACCAUGGUUUUUACCACAUGGGGCUUGUGCUCUUGUGAUUUUUAUACAGCGUGAAACUCAUGAGAACUUUAUUCAUGGGAUUUUUCUUCACCCUCGGAGUAUAAACUGUCUGAAGCCCUGGAUAGAGAAGGUCAUUGAAGGUCAUUGCGUGAGACUGUUGCCUCCUCAUUUAUCGGCUCCAUUCUCCCACAUGUGAAGGCUAUCAUGAUAAGCAUAUCCACUCAGGCACCGAAAGACGAGUAUUACAUGCCUGCUGGCA
RNAcentral lists this long non-coding RNA (959 nucleotides) under Mus pahari (shrew mouse). RNAcentral's name for it is "predicted gene 12916 (MGP_PahariEiJ_G0006230.1)". The record is from RNAcentral. Lineage: Eukaryota; Metazoa; Chordata; Mammalia; Rodentia; Muridae.